RNAcentral lists this ribosomal RNA (254 nucleotides) under uncultured bacterium. Its description in RNAcentral is "partial 16S ribosomal RNA". It matches the Rfam family "Bacterial small subunit ribosomal RNA", at positions 524 to 776 of the family's 1533-position model. The record is from RNAcentral.
UACGUAGGCAGCAAGCGUUGUUCGGAGUUACUGGGCGUAAAGGGUGUGUAGGCGGUUCCCUAAGUUUGGUGUGAAAUCUCCCGGCUCAACUGGGAGGGUGCGCCGAAAACUGGGGGGGCUAGAGUACUGGAUGGGAGAGUGGAAUUCCUGGUGUAGCGGUGAAAUGCGUAGAUAUCAGGAGGAACACCUGUGGUGUAGACGGCUCUCUGGACAGUAACUGACGCUGAGACACGAAAGCGUGGGUAGCAAACAGG